GAUGAACGCUGGCGGCGUGCCUAAUACAUGCAAGUCGAGCGAACGGACGAGAAGCUUGCUUCUCUGAUGUUAGCGGCGGACGGGUGAGUAACACGUGGAUAACCUACCUAUAAGACUGGGAUAACUUCGGGAAACCGGAGCUAAUACCGGAUAAUAUUUUGAACCGCAUGGUUCAAAAGUGAAAGACGGUCUUGCUGUCACUUAUAGAUGGAUCCGCGCUGCAUUAGCUAGUUGGUAAGGUAACGGCUUACCAAGGCAACGAUGCAUAGCCGACCUGAGAGGGGAAUGGGCCCCACAGGACCUGAGCACGGGCCCGAACCCCUAGGGGGGGCAGCAGUGGGAAAUCUUCCGCAAUGGGCGAAACCUGGACGGGGCAAGCCCGGGGAGGUGAAAAGGGCUUUGGGAUCGAAAAACCUUGUUUUAGGGGAAAAAAAAAUUUGUAAGAAAUGUGGCCAACCUUGGCGGUCCCAAAUCAAAAAGCCACGCCUAACCCCGU
RNAcentral lists this ribosomal RNA (496 nucleotides) under uncultured bacterium. Its description in RNAcentral is "partial 16S ribosomal RNA". It matches the Rfam family "Bacterial small subunit ribosomal RNA", at positions 28 to 506 of the family's 1533-position model. The record is from RNAcentral.